GUUUGAUCAUGGCUCAGAACGAACGCUGGCGGCGUGCCUAACACAUGCAAGUCGAACGAGAAAGCGGGCUUCGGCCCGUGAGUAAAGUGGCAGACGGGUGAGUAACACGUGGGUAACCUGCCCGGAGGUGGGGGAUAACCCUCCGAAAGGAGGGCUAAUACCGCAUGACACCCCGGUCCUCUUGGGGGCCGGGUUCAAAGCUUGCCUCUGCUUGCAAGCAAGCGCCACCGGAGGGGCCCGCGCCCCAUUAGCUAGUUGGUGAGGUAACGGCUCACCAAGGCGACGAUGGGUAGCCGGCCUGAGAGGGUGAUCGGCCACACUGGAACUGAGACACGGUCCGGACUCCUACGGGAGGCAGCGGUGAGGAAUUUUGCGCAAUGGGCGAAAGCCUGACGCAGCGACGCCGCGUGGAGGACGAAGGUCUUCGGAUCGUAAACUCCUGUCAAGAGGGACGAAUCCCGGGCGGAUGAAUAAGCCGAACGGUCGACGGUACCUCUGGAGGAAGCCCCGGCUAACUCCGUGCCAGCAGCCGCGGUAAUACGGAGGGGGCCAGCGUUGUUCGGAAUCAUUGGGCGUAAAGGGCGCGUAGGUGGCUGUGCAAGUCGGAGGUGAAAUCCCUCGGCCCAACCGAGGAACUGCCUCCGAAACUGCUCAGCUCGAGUCCCGGAGAGGGCAGUGGAAUUCCCAGUGUAGCGGUGAAAUGCGUAGAUAUUGGGAGGAACACCGGUGGCGAAGGCGGCUGCCUGGACGGGUACUGACGCUGAGGCGCGAAAGCGUGGGGAGCAAACAGGAUUAGAUACCCUGGUAGUCCACGCUGUAAACGAUGGGCACUUGGUGUUGCGGGUAUCGACCCCUGCAGUGCCGAAGCUAACGCAUUAAG
RNAcentral lists this ribosomal RNA (880 nucleotides) under uncultured bacterium. RNAcentral's name for it is "bacterial SSU rRNA". It matches the Rfam family "Bacterial small subunit ribosomal RNA", at positions 11 to 864 of the family's 1533-position model. The record is from RNAcentral.